UUUGGCCUGAGGAGGAUUUAGAGAGGGUUUCUGGAAGGUCAGAGGUCACUGGCAGACAACACUCGAGCUGGCAGAGAUUCAGUAGCGUUGGUGCAGGAAAAUUACAGGUUCUCACUUAAGAAGACACAUAAUACUGUCAACCACAUCCAAACCGCUCUUCCCAAAAUAAACCAGCAGCCAGAUCAGAGCGUUUUGCUCGUGAACCGGGAGUCUCUGGUGCUGCUGCUGAUGGUUGAAGAACUGCAGCUGAACUUCAGUAUUUACUUCAGACUGAAGAUGAAGAGAGGCUGUCUGACUCUGGUCCAAAGAUUCUUGCCACAACAGCUCCACACUGACACUCUGGAGCAGAGAUAUUAUACAGAACACUACAGCACAAUGUACAGAACACUACAGGAAACUAUCGAAGGAAGCCUGAGAUGCAGGUUUUCCGAAAGCGGAGAUAUUUAGCUGCUCUGGUUUAAAAUGCUUCACUAAUUUUACUGUAUUUGAAUGGAUGUUACUGCAGCCUCAGAGUGCUGUGCAGCUGUGAUGUUAAGAUCAGGAGCAAAAACAUUAAUGUUAAUAACAGUCCCGUCACAUAGAGGCUUUGACCUAGACCCCUCAGGC
Epinephelus fuscoguttatus (brown-marbled grouper) is the source of this 606-nucleotide long non-coding RNA. RefSeq lists it as uncharacterized. The transcript is spliced from 4 exons. NCBI's taxonomy places the organism in Eukaryota, Metazoa, Chordata, Actinopteri, Perciformes, Serranidae. The record is from RefSeq and is a predicted model, not a curated record.